ACCUUUUUCUCUUUUUUUUAUCGUUUUAUUUUUCAUCUUUUUCUUCUUCGUAGUUCGUAGUUGUAAUUUUUUAGUUUUAUUAUCAUUUUCUUCUUCAUCUUUUUCUUCUUCCUAGUUCGUAUUUGUAAUUUUUUUAAUUUUAUUAUUAUUUUCUUCUUCGUAGUUCGUAGUUGUAAUUUUAUUUGCUGAGAUUAUUUGUUGUAGACGGCUUUAAAGGCCAUAGGAUGUUAUGGUAUCGAUAUUAUGUCUAUUUUCAUAUUCAUGAUAUAAAAAAAGAGCUAACAAUAGUUGAACAUAUUUUUUGCUUUAUUCUUUGAUUAUUAUGGGUAAAGCUUUGAUCUUUGCUUAAAAUAUGUACUCAUGUUUUGUUUAAAUUCAUUGUUGGCGUAUAAAUUUGUUUUUAGCAUAUAAAGUCGUUUCCUUUAUGUUGAAAAAAAAAUAGUUAAUAUUGAUU
Molecule: long non-coding RNA, 454 nt
Filed under: Capsicum annuum
Lineage: Eukaryota; Viridiplantae; Streptophyta; Magnoliopsida; Solanales; Solanaceae
Description: long non-coding RNA (CANN_LNC002253)
Source: RNAcentral